GACGAACGCUGGCGGCGUGCUUAACACAUGCAAGUCGUACGGUAAGGCCCUUUCGGGGGUACACGAGUGGCGAACGGGUGAGUAACACGUGCGUAACCUGCCCACAACUUUGGGAUAACGAUAGGCAACUGGUGCUAAUACUUGCUAUGUGCUCCUUCCGGCUGGUUGGGGUUGGAAAGCUCCGGCGGUUGUGGGUGGACUCGCGGCCUACCAGGUUGCUGGUGGGGUAGUGGCCUACCAAGGGGGCGGCGGGGAGCCGGCCGGCGAGGGUGACCGGCCACAAUGGGGACUGGAUACGGCCCAGACUCCUACGGGGGGCAAGAGGGGGGGAUAAUGCCACAUGGGGGCGAGCCUGAUGGAGGAAAGCCGCGUGCGGGAUGACGGCCUUCGGGUUGUAAACCGGUUUCAGCAGGGGAGAAGGUGUGAGUGACGGUACCUGCAGAAGAAGCACCGGCUAACUACGUG
This 465-nucleotide ribosomal RNA is filed under the name uncultured bacterium. RNAcentral describes it as "partial 16S ribosomal RNA". It matches the Rfam family "Bacterial small subunit ribosomal RNA", at positions 28 to 507 of the family's 1533-position model. The record is from RNAcentral.